CGUUAGCGGCGGACGGGUGAGUAACACGUGGGUAACCUACCUAUAAGACUGGGAUAACUUCGGGAAACCGGAGCUAAUACCGGAUAACAUUUGGAACCGCAUGGUUCUAAAGUGAAAGAUGGUUUUGCUAUCACUUAUAGAUGGACCCGCGCCGUAUUAGCUAGUUGGUAAGGUAACGGCUUACCAAGGCGACGAUACGUAGCCGACCUGAGAGGGUGAUCGGCCACACUGGAACUGAGACACGGUCCAGACUCCUACGGGAGGCAGCAGUAGGGAAUCUUCCGCAAUGGGCGAAAGCCUGACGGAGCAACGCCGCGUGAGUGAUGAAGGGUUUCGGCUCGUAAAACUCUGUUAUUAGGGAAGAACAAACGUGUAAGUAACUGUGCACGUCUUGACGGUACCUAAUCAGAAAGCCACGGCUAACUACGUGCCAGCAGCCGCGGUAAUACGUAGGUGGCAAGCGUUAUCCGGAAUUAUUGGGCGUAAAGCGCGCGUAGGCGGUUUCUUAAGUCUGAUGUGAAAGCCCACGGCUCAACCGUGGAGGGUCAUUGGAAACUGGGAAACUUGAGUGCAGAAGAGGAAAGUGGAAUUCCAUGUGUAGCGGUGAAAUGCGCAGAGAUAUGGAGGAACACCAGUGGCGAAGGCGACUUUCUGGUCUG
Molecule: ribosomal RNA, 659 nt
Filed under: Staphylococcus saprophyticus
Lineage: Bacteria; Bacillati; Bacillota; Bacilli; Caryophanales; Staphylococcaceae
Description: bacterial SSU rRNA
Rfam family: Bacterial small subunit ribosomal RNA
Source: RNAcentral